This 72-nucleotide transfer RNA is filed under the name Bacteroidales bacterium OttesenSCG-928-C19. RNAcentral describes it as "tRNA-Lys". It matches the Rfam family "tRNA". From Rfam's summary of the family: Transfer RNA (tRNA) molecules are approximately 80 nucleotides in length. The record is from RNAcentral. Lineage: Bacteria; Pseudomonadati; Bacteroidota; Bacteroidia; Bacteroidales.
UCCUGUGUGGUUUAAUUGGUAAAACGUUUGAAUUUUAAUCAGAAGUUUCGGGUUCGAAUCCCGGCACAGGAG